UUUGGUUAAGUUAGAAAGGGCGCACGGUGGAUGCCUUGGCACUAGGAGCCGAUGAAGGACGGGACUAACACCGAUAUGCUUCGGGGAGCUGUAAGUAAGCUUUGAUCCGGAGAUUUCCGAAUGGGGAAACCCGCUGCACGUAAUGGUGCAGUAUCCAUACUUGAAUACAUAGAGUAUGGAAGGCAGACCCGGGGAACUGAAACAUCUAAGUACCCGGAGGAAGAGAAAGCAAACGCGAUUCCCUGAGUAGCGGCGAGCGAAACGGGAUCAGCCCAAACCAAGAGGCUUGCCUCUUGGGGUUGUAGGACACUCUAUACGGAGUUACAAAGGAACGAAGUAGACGAAGAAGCUUGGAAAGGCUCGUCACAGAAGGUAAUAACCCUGUAGUCGAAACUUYGUUCCCUCUUGAGUGGAUCCUGAGUACGGCGGGACACGAGAAAUCCCGUCGGAAGCUGGGAGGACCAUCUCCCAAGGCUAAAUACUCCCUAGUGACCGAUAGUGAACCAGUACCGUGAGGGAAAGGUGAAAAGCACCCCGGAAGGGGAGUG
Molecule: ribosomal RNA, 548 nt
Filed under: Rossellomorea vietnamensis
Lineage: Bacteria; Bacillati; Bacillota; Bacilli; Caryophanales; Bacillaceae
Description: Bacillus vietnamensis partial 23S ribosomal RNA
Rfam family: Bacterial large subunit ribosomal RNA
Source: RNAcentral